CUAGUUGGAAUGUAUGUGGCCUUGUUGGCUUUCAGUUAUCAGAUGUAUAGUUGUCUAUAGUAGCCUUACUAGCUUGCCCCCUGUAAUCUGCAGAUAUACGUACAUAUAUCUUGUUGGCAGGUUUCGUCUCCUUCAUGUACGUUGUCUUCGUAAUUCAGAAGAUGUUAUACAUGUUCAUAUCCUAGAUGUAUACUUAGGGGUGUUUGACAAGUAGUAUUCAGACACCCAUCGCGGCCAUCGGUUUGGGUCGUGACAGGCUGCACGCUGCAACAUGUUGUUAUUGAUUCAUCAUUUUGUGAGGCCACCGGCUUGAUUGAUUUAUGACACGAGGUGGCUUGUUAUGAGGUCACGAACCUGAUUGAUUUAUGCCACGAGGUGGCUUGUUAUAGCGUUUGGGUUGUAGGAGCCCAUCCGGAGUCUGUACAUCCCCAACGAGUGUGGGUACCCUGAGUAAGUGAUAUGAUGUUUUAUUCGAGGGGUUUCUCUUGAUUCAUGUUGUGCCCGAAGGGCUGUUUACGAGCAAUUGUGAG
This 530-nucleotide long non-coding RNA is filed under the name Nicotiana benthamiana. RNAcentral's name for it is "long non-coding RNA (NBEN_LNC029020)". The record is from RNAcentral. Lineage: Eukaryota; Viridiplantae; Streptophyta; Magnoliopsida; Solanales; Solanaceae.